CAGGGGAUAGUUUAAAAUUAAAAAUAUUAAUUUUGGGGAUUAAUGAUAAAGAUAUAAAUUUCUUUUUUCCUGA
This 73-nucleotide transfer RNA is filed under the name Symploce pallens. Its description in RNAcentral is "tRNA-Pro". Lineage: Eukaryota; Metazoa; Arthropoda; Insecta; Blattodea; Blattellidae. The record is from RNAcentral.